This 253-nucleotide ribosomal RNA is filed under the name uncultured bacterium. Its description in RNAcentral is "partial 16S ribosomal RNA". It matches the Rfam family "Bacterial small subunit ribosomal RNA", at positions 524 to 776 of the family's 1533-position model. The record is from RNAcentral.
UACGUAGGGGGCUAGCGUUGUCCGGAAUCAUUGGGCGUAAAGCGCGUGUAGGCGGCCCGGUAAGUCCGCUGUGAAAGUCGGGGGCUCAACCCUCGGAUGCCGGUGGAUACUGUCGGGCUCGAGUACGGAAGAGGCGAGUGGAAUUCCUGGUGUAGCGGUGAAAUGCGCAGAUAUCAGGAGGAACACCAAUUGCAAAGGCAGCUCGCUGGGACGUAACUGACGCUGAGACGCGAAAGCGUGGGGAGCAAACAGG